GCUGGCGUGGCUCAAUUGGCAGAGCAGCUGACUUGUAAUCAGCAGGUUAUCGGUUCAAGUCCGAUCGCUAGCUCCA
RNAcentral lists this transfer RNA (76 nucleotides) under Clostridium sardiniense. RNAcentral's name for it is "tRNA-Thr". It matches the Rfam family "tRNA". From Rfam's summary of the family: Transfer RNA (tRNA) molecules are approximately 80 nucleotides in length. Their secondary structure includes four short double-helical elements and three loops (D, anti-codon, and T loops). Lineage: Bacteria; Bacillati; Bacillota; Clostridia; Eubacteriales; Clostridiaceae. The record is from RNAcentral. RNAcentral also lists the same sequence under 1 other name.